Molecule: ribosomal RNA, 426 nt
Filed under: uncultured bacterium
Lineage: Bacteria
Description: bacterial SSU rRNA
Rfam family: Bacterial small subunit ribosomal RNA
Source: RNAcentral
UUAGGGAAUUUUGACAAUGGGCGCAAGCCUGAUCGAGUGACGCCGCGUGUGGGAUGACGCCUUUCGGGGUGUAAACCACUUUUCUUGGGGACGAGAACGGACGGUACCCGAGGAAGAAGCCUCGGCUAACUACGUGCCAGCAGCCGCGGUAAUACGUAGGAGGCGAGCGUUGUCCGGAAUUACUGGGCGUAAAGCGCGCGUAGGCGGGUCUUUGCGUAGGCGGUGAAAGCCCCCGGCUCACCUGGGGGAGUGCCGCCUAAACGGGGGACCUUAGAGGGCGGUAGGGGCUGGCGGAACGCCCGGAGUAGCGGUGAAAUGCGUUGAGAUCGGGCAGAACACCAGUGGCGAAGGCGGCCAGCUGGGCCGACCCUGACGCUGAGGCGCGAAAGCCAGGGGAGCGAACGGAAUUAGAUACCCCCGUAGUCC